This 423-nucleotide ribosomal RNA is filed under the name uncultured bacterium. Its description in RNAcentral is "bacterial SSU rRNA". It matches the Rfam family "Bacterial small subunit ribosomal RNA", at positions 354 to 774 of the family's 1533-position model. The record is from RNAcentral.
GUGAGGAAUAUUGGGCAAUGCCCGAAAGGGUGACCCAGCAACGCCGCGUGGAGGAUGAAGGUCGUAAGAUUGUAAACUCCUGUUAGAGGGGAAGAAUAACUAAGUUUGGAGCUUAGUAUGACUGUACCCUCAGAGAAAGCCCCGGCUAACUACGUGCCAGCAGCCGCGGUAAUACGUAGGGGGCAAGCGUUGUCCGGAUUUACUGGGUGUAAAGGGCGCGCAGGCGGAAUGGAAAGUCAGUGGUGAAAUCCUACAGCUUAACUGUAGAACUGCCUUUGAUACUUUCAUUCUUGAGUUCGGGAGAGAGGGACGGAAUUCCAGGUGUAGUGGUGAAAUACGUAGAUAUCUGGAAGAACACCAGUUGCGAAGGCGGUCUCUUGGUCCGAUACUGACGCUGAGGAGCGAAAGCGUGGGGAGCAAACA